GCGGCGUUAGCUCAGUUGGUAGAGCACUGGAUUGUGAUUCCAGAUGUCACCGGUUCAAUCCCGGUACGUCGCCCCA
RNAcentral lists this transfer RNA (76 nucleotides) under Burkholderiales bacterium. RNAcentral's name for it is "tRNA-His". It matches the Rfam family "tRNA". From Rfam's summary of the family: Transfer RNA (tRNA) molecules are approximately 80 nucleotides in length. Their secondary structure includes four short double-helical elements and three loops (D, anti-codon, and T loops). Further hydrogen bonds mediate the characteristic L-shaped molecular structure. tRNAs have two regions of fundamental functional importance: the anti-codon, which is responsible for specific mRNA codon recognition, and the 3' end, to which the tRNAs corresponding amino acid is attached (by aminoacyl-tRNA synthetases). tRNAs cope with the degeneracy of the genetic code in two manners: having more than one tRNA (with a specific anti-codon) for a particular amino acid; and 'wobble' base-pairing, i.e. permitting non-standard base-pairing at the 3rd anti-codon position. Lineage: Bacteria; Pseudomonadati; Pseudomonadota; Betaproteobacteria; Burkholderiales. The record is from RNAcentral.